This 540-nucleotide ribosomal RNA is filed under the name uncultured bacterium. RNAcentral's name for it is "bacterial SSU rRNA". It matches the Rfam family "Bacterial small subunit ribosomal RNA", at positions 8 to 526 of the family's 1533-position model. The record is from RNAcentral.
AGAGUUUGAUCCUGGCUCAGAACGAACGCUGGCGGCGUGGAUAAGACAUGCAAGUCGAACGGGAACUUUUCUGGUAGCAAUACCGGGAAAGUUUUAGUGGCGAACGGGUGCGUAACACGUGGGCAAUCUGCCGAGAAGUGGGGGAUAGCUCGCCGAAAGGCGAAUUAAUACCGCAUAUGAUCAGGGAAGACAUCUUUCCGACAUCAAAGCCGGGGCAACCUGGCGCUUCUUGAUGACCCCGCGGCCUAUCAGCUAGUUGGUGAGGUAACGGCCCACCAAGGCGAUGACGGGUAGCUGGUCUGAGAGGACGACCAGUCACACUGGAACUGAGACACGGUCCAGACACCUACGGGUGGCAGCAGUCGAGAAUUUUUCUCAAUGGGGGAAACCCUGAAGGAGCGACGCCGCGUGGAGGAUGAAGGCUUUCGGGUUGUAAACUCCUGUCAUUUGAGAACAAUGGCUACGCGUUAACUGCGCGGAGCUUGAUAGUAUCAGAAGAGGAAGGGACGGCUAACUCUGUGCCAGCCGCCGCGGUAAUAC